UUCAACAACCCUUCAUGCUAAAAACUCUCAAUAAAUUAGGUAUUGAUGGGACGUAUUUCAAAAUAAUAAGAGGAAACACUUUUCAACAUGUUUUAUGAGUCUACCGUUAUCCCCAUACCAAAACCAUAAAACAGACAUUACAAGAAAAUGUCCUGUAGACAAAUAUGUAUUUUGAUGAUGAAUUUAGAUUUCAAAAACUUCAGCAAAAUAUUAUCCAAUUAAAUCCUCUCAUGUCUGUGUGUGUGUGUGUGUGCAUGCACGUGUGUUUGUAAAAUAUAUCAUUACUAAUUGGCGUUUAUCUUGGGAGUUCAAGAUGGUUUCCAUAUUCAAUCAACCCAUCAAUGUGGACUAUGGUCACUUGAAAAGACCAGCAAAUCCUCUGCACAAAAGGCCACUAGAAAUUCAUUAAAGCAGCCUUCCAUCAUUCUCGAAAUUGACCAAAGCAUUCAACUACCUGAGAAAUAUUUAUGUUUGGAAAGCUAUUGAAAUGCAAUUAAAAAUAUCAGGAAACCUGUUUUUACCUUUUGUCCUAAUCUUGCUAAAUCCUUCUUAAUUUUAGGAGACACUGCUUCUCCUUCCACUGUUCUUUUACUUUCUCCUUCCCCUUUGUUUUUGCCUCCCCCUUCCUCUCCCUUUUCUACAUUCCUUCUCUCUCCUAAAUGCUGUAUAAAUUUCUACAUAUGUAAUCAUAUUAUUUACAAAUAGGAACAGUUUUACUUAUUUCUUUCCAGUCUGCAUUUAUUUUAUUCUUCCUUUUUUUCCUUACACACUGGAUAGAACUCUAAGUAUUAUGUUGAAAAAGAGUGAUAAAAGCAAACAUCUUUGCUUUAUUCCUGAGCAUACAUGUGGAAAACAUUCAGUGUUUCACAGCUAAAUAUGAUGGAUUUUUUGUAUGCUCUUUAUCAAGAUGAAGGAAUUUUCUGCUAUUUCUGGUUUGCUGAAUUUUUAUCACAAGUAACUGUUGAAUAGUGUCUUUUUCCCCUGCAUUUAUUGAACUGAUCAUGCAUUCUCCUAUUUUAGAAUAUUAAUAUGAUGAACUAUAUUAUUAGAUUUUUUAAAAUAUUGCAACUGUCUUGCAUUUCUGGAAUAAACAUGGCUUGGUCAUGUGUCACUUUUUUACAUAGUGUCGUAUUCAAGUUGUCGAGGAUUUUGCAUCUAGGGUAUAUUUGUAGAUUUGCAUCUAGGUUAUGUUGGUCUAAAGUUUUGUUUGUUUGUUUUCCUUUUCUUUUUUUUUAUCAUCUUUGUCUUCUUCUGUUUAAGUGUCAUGCUUGCUUCAUAAAAUGAAUUGAGAAGCAUUUCUUCCUCUUCUGUUUCUCGAAAAUUGUAGAGAACUCUUGUUUUUUGUUGUUGUUUGUUUGUUGUUUUGUUUUUUCUUAUUUUUAUCCUCAUACUGAGAACCAAACAGUCUGGAGUGUAAAACAUGGUUCCUCAUUCCAGUUAAAUCUAGUAUACAAUGACAACAACCCUCUUGGGUUAAGCAUUGGCCUACAAACAGAAAAAAACCUUCAGGGAGAUAGAUGCUGAUCUAGGCAUUGUGAGAAAAGCUGAAUUCAUUUUUAAUCAUGAAUGGCUUUUAAGGAAAGAAGAUUUAUUAACUAAAAUAAAUAGAUUAGAGGGAAUUCUCACCUAUGAGAGAGGAAGGGAUGGGAUUCAACCUGGAAAAAGUAAUGAAGUUUUAGUGAACUUGGUAAGGUAGACUCAACAAUUAAUGAUGGAUAAUGCUAGGACCCAACACUGGUAAUGAGUUUGUAUUAUGACUCAAUAGCAUCACUUUAUCACUUUAACACAGAUGGAGGCCUAAAUAACCAUAGGGUAAUGGUUCUUCUUAGAUGCAGAAGGACACAUUUAUAUAAUCUUAGGGACCCCAUCUCUGAGGUCACUCAUAAUUUAUAUUAAUUCAUUGUUAUUGCCAUUGCCCCAAGAAUAGAUAAGGAUAAGACAUCCUGUAGUACAGGUAGCAGAGAUAUAAACUAUUCUUAUUCUUGUGUCUUGUCUAUAGGAAGGGAGUGUAUCCUGGUGUAAGACAGCAUAUAGUAGAGACCAUUGUCAAUUAGGGCCUGUGAACUAAGACAGGGUGACUGGCUAAGUCCACAACCCAUUAGAAACCCAGAAAUAAUCAAAUCAUGGUGAGUAGUAAUAACACUUAUUUAUAAUACUAUACGGUAUAAAGACAAGAACCAAUUAUGUUGAGUAGCUGUAACAAAUAGCUCUAUCAUUCGUAAUAACUUUUUCUGUAAUAAAACUGAAUUGUAACAUGAUCAUACUGCAAUAUGACAUUACACUAGCAUUGUUGGUAAGAUUCAACUAUCUUAUGUAGAGAAGUUAUAUAAUGCUUAUAUUGAUAAUCAAAUGUAUUAAGAUAUUGAGUUAAAGCCUCUUCAGAAUGUAAUCUGGGUGAAUAAUAAAUGGCCUGAGAAAACAGAAUUCAGCUAACCAUUAUCUAAUUUCAAUGCUAAAUAGUUCUGCACAGAUUUAUCAAAAAGUAAAAAUAAAAGCAGAUUGAGAGGAGGAAUGAAUAAUUUUGUUUGUACAAAAUAUUAAAGUGUAUGUAAUGGGCUUGUAGGAUGCAUUAGUAAUUUUUAAAAAUCAAUCUUUACCCUACACUGUGUCCAUAAAAUGCUAGGCAUAUUCAUGUUAAUAUUACUGUUGUUACUGUCAUAUAAAUGCCAUAUUCAAUGUAGAUGCUCAGAAAAAUAUGAUUGUUUUGCUACAGGAGAGAUUAGACCAGGGACAAUAAAUAUGGAUUAGGCAAGAAUGUGUUAACUCAGCAGCCCAGGGUUUUUUCAACCCUGCACAUUCAAAGGUAAGGUUUGUUUUUAGGACUAGCUAGCCUCUGAGUUCUGGAAAUAGUCUUACCGUGAAGAGUGUUUUUGUAUAUCUGAGGCCUUGGGUUUAUGGUGAAUGACUGACUUAUAUGCCUGAGGCCCUGAGCCAUGCUGUAUUUAUUUGAACCAUGUGGUAUCAAUUUAACCAGAUACGUUUAUUCUAAGAUAUGAUUUAUGCUGAAUGCCUGGUUUUGUUCUAGAGGGAUCAUGGAAAGGAAGCUGAAUUUGCCAAGUUUUGCCACUUGGGCAUUGCAUGCCUAUGUGAUUAACCACCAAUAAAAACCUGGGACAUCAAAGAAUAAAUAAGCUGCUCUAAUUGCCAAGAAUUCACAUGUGGUUGUAUGCAGCUUUACUGGGAGACUGAAGUGUAUCUGCAUGUGAUUCUGCUGUGAUGGACACUUGAUCUUGAGAUGACGUCAUACUGGAUGAUCCUAGUGCACCCUAAAUCCAAUAAGUGUUCUUAUGAAAGACAGAAGAGGAGAAGAUACAGGAAAUAGAAGAAGGCUACUUGAGGAUGGAAGCAGAGAUUGGAGUUAUGCAGCUACAAACCAAAGAAUGCCUUGAGCCACCAGCAGCUGAAAGAGCUAGUCAGCAAUACAACUGGGAUUUGAUAUCAGAUUCAUACGAUUCCGAAGACCCUGACCACCAAAUGCAAAAGGUACAUGGCAACAGCUGAUUGCAAUGAGAGAAAAACAACUAAUAAGGCAACAAGCAGGAUACUAAGAUAUUUUCCAAAAUGAAUAGCACUGAUUCUGUGAGGAAUGAACAUUGCCAAACAAGUGUUUUGUUUUGUUUUUCAACUCCUCUAAAAAAAUUCACAUAUAUGCAUGCCACUUUCCUGAAAAAUAUCUGCCUCAUAAUUGCCAUAAGAAACGGUAUGGACAACUCUUAAACAUUCUGAAAGUAGUCAGGGAUGGGGGAAAGCAUUUGCUGUUUUAGUCUGUUCCUGGUCUUAUAACAAAUACCACAAACUGGGUAAUUUAUGAUUACAGAAAUGUAUUUCUGAAAGUUCAGGAGUUGGGAAGUUCAAGAUUAUGGCACCAACAUAUUCAUUGUCUGAUGAGGGCCUGUUUCACAGAUGUCAUUUUGCAUGACUUAAUCACAUGGUAGGAAAAGCAAAGGGACAAAAUGGACAAAUGCCAUGUUGUCACAUGGCAGAAGAAAUGGAAGAGCCAGGAAGCUCUCAGAAGCUUCCUUAAUUAGGAUAUUAAUCUCAUUCAUGAGUGCAUAGCCAUCAUGACUUAAUUGCCUCCAAAGGCCCCACUUCCUCAUCACUUUGAGGAUUAAACUUAAACAUGAAUUUGGAGGAAAUAUAUCCAAACUCUAGGACUAGUUUAAAUGUAGCUAAAAAGGUUUCUUCAUUCUGUAAUCGUUAAUAUGCUAAUAUUUUUGUAAAUAUCCAAGAGGAAGCUAAAGCAUAUAAUAUUCCAAAAUUUAUUUCUGUUUGUGGAUAUUAUGUUUUCCUCUCAUUCUAUCUUAAGAAAUUAGUGUCCUCAAGAAACACUAUAUAGGAUAAUUGUCUUUCAAGUUCAUCAACUACCAGUUCUUGAUUCUUCAGUAGCUAAUCCUAGAUAGUAAUACUUAACAGAUUAUAAAAACUUGGGUGCUGCUAUAUAAAUGCGCUGAAACUCCCAGGGAACCAAACAUAAGGACUUAAAGAGAGAUGUAACUAGGGAUCAUAAUCAUGAAUUUCAGCUGCUUCUCUAUCUUUGUCAGUGAGCAAAUGACCAUACAAAAUAAGGUAUUCAAUUAUUAAUUCUGUGCCCAUAUCCCGGAAUUUUGCCCAAUAUAUUUGUAAGUUUAGAUAAAUAAGGCACUAAUGCCAGGGAUAUGUAGCAUUAGUUCUGGGUUUAUAAAGGGAUAUUCACAACCUCUUGCCAUCCACAGAAUUUAUCAGCCCAAAGUAAACUAUACUCGUUGGUUAAGGGCAACCUGAGACAUGUUUAAAACUGAGGUGGACUGAAGAGUCAACUAAUUGCAGGAAUCUUUUAUUUGGUUGAAAUGUUCAAACAAGUCCCACUCUGAAUUCUAUUAGAAGUCCAUCAUUGGCUUCUCUCUCUUUCUCACUGUCUUAAAUCAUGUAUUUUAUAACACUAUGAAGAAUGAAGUUCAAAAGAAUAAGCUAAAUUUAAUUAAUUAAAUUAUUUAUUUAUUUAUUUUGAGACAGAGUCUCACUCUGUCACCCAGGCCAGAGUUCAG
This 5024-nucleotide long non-coding RNA is filed under the name Homo sapiens (human). RNAcentral describes it as "HSALNT0351980". Lineage: Eukaryota; Metazoa; Chordata; Mammalia; Primates; Hominidae. The record is from RNAcentral.